RNAcentral lists this ribosomal RNA (925 nucleotides) under uncultured bacterium. RNAcentral's name for it is "bacterial SSU rRNA". It matches the Rfam family "Bacterial small subunit ribosomal RNA", at positions 8 to 916 of the family's 1533-position model. The record is from RNAcentral.
AGAGUUUGAUCAUGGCUCAGAACGAACGCUGGCGGCAGGCUUCAUACAUGCAAGUCGAGCGGAAAGGCCCCUUCGGGGGUACUCGAGCGGCGAACGGGUGAGUAACAGGUGGGUAAUCUGCCUUUCGGAGGGGGAUAACGGCUGGAAACGGCCGCUAAUACCCCGUACGGUUGCGAAGCUCUCGGGCUUUGCAAAGAAAGGGGCCUUUAAAGCCCCGCCGAAAGAUGAGCCCGCCCCCCAUUAGCUAGUUGGCGGGGUAAUGGCCCACCAAGGCUGUGAUGGGUAGCCGAGCUGAGAGGUUGAUCGGCCACACUGGAACUGAGACACGGUCCAGACACCUACGGGUGGCAGCAGUAGGGAAUAUUGCGCAAUGGGCGAAAGCCUGACGCAGCCAUGCCGCGUGGAUGAUGAAGGCCUUCGGGUCGUAAAGUCCUUUUCUGAGGGAAGAACUGCCGGGGGAGGAAAUGCCCUUGGCUUGACGGUACCUCAGGAAUAAGCAACGGCUAACUCCGUGCCAGCAGCCGCGGUAAUACGGAGGUUGCAAGCGUUGUUCGGAAUGACUGGGCGUAAAGGGAGCGCAGGCGGCCAAGUCAGUCUGAAGUGAAAGCCCGGGGCUUAACCCCGGAAUAGCUUUGGAUACUGCCUGGCUUGAGUGUGCGAUAGGAAAGCGGAAUUCCAGGUGUAGCGGUGAAAUGCGUAGAUAUCUGGAGGAACACCGGUGGCGAAAGCGGCUUUCUGGCGCAUAACUGACGCUGAGGCUCGAAAGCGUGGGGAGCGAACGGGAUUAGAUACCCCGGUAGUCCACGCCGUAAACGUUGUGCACUAGGUGUGGGAGGUAUCGACCCCUUCCGUGCCGAAGCUAACGCAUUAAGUGCACCGCCUGGGGGAGUACGGUCGCAAGACUGAAACUCAAAGGAAUUGACGG